Molecule: ribosomal RNA, 457 nt
Filed under: uncultured bacterium
Lineage: Bacteria
Description: partial 16S ribosomal RNA
Rfam family: Bacterial small subunit ribosomal RNA
Source: RNAcentral
AACGAAUGCUGGCGGCAGGCCUUACACAUGCAAGCCGAACGUGAAAGUCCUUCGGGAUGAGUAAAGUGGCGCACGGGUGAGUAACGCGUGGGAACAUGCCCUUCAGUACGGGAUAACAGCGGGAAACUGCUGCUAAUACCGUAUAUUCCCUACGGGGGAAAGAUUUAUCGCUGAAGGAUUGGCCCGCGUUAGAUUAGCUAGUUGGUGAGGUAAUGGCUCACCAAGGCUACGAUCUAUAGCCGGUCUGAGAGGACGAUCGGCCACACUGGAACUGAGACACGGUCCAGACUCCUACGGGAGGCAGCAGUGGGGAAUAUUGGACAAUGGGCGAAAGCCUGAUCCAGCCAUGCCGCGUGAGUGAUGAAGGCCUUAGGGUUGUGAAGCUCUUUUGGCGGGGAAGAUAAUGACGGUACCCGCAGAAUAAGCCCCGGCUAACUUCGUGCCAGCCGCGCCGUAA